AUGGGUUGGCAGUUAGGGGUAUGGGGAGGUUCCCUCAGGCAGCCAGCCAGGUCCAGAGUGUGGGAGGAGACUCACAAGGGGAGGGGGUACAAAGCACAACCGCAACCUCAAUGCAGAGUGAGGCAUGCGGGGCACGGCUCCAUGCAGGGAUGGGACACCAGACCGGCAGACACCCCUUCCCAUCCCCGGCCUCUUGUGAACUCUGGAAGGUCUAGGGCUGCUGGGGUGCGCCUUGCGGGGAGUUCCCUUGUUCCAGUCACCGUCUGGAGGAGCAGAAGGCGCGGGGACACGCACGGGCACGUCUCCGCACUCCCUCAACUCAACCUCGGUGUCUUCGGCCUGCCAGCAAAGACAACCUCCGGAGCCCCGGGCCUGGGAGUUGUCGCCGCGCGGUCCCGCCUGACCCUGGCGGGGUCACAGGAGUCCGGCGCCGGGGGUGGCUCCAGCACGGCGCCGCGGGUCUGGGUGGGUGCCCCAGAGACUUGGCGGCUGCGCUACUGGGGAGGCGGAGGCGCACCCCUCCGCCCGCCAGGCAGCGCGGCCCGGGCCGCGCCCCCGCCCCACUCCCUUCGCGUUCUCUUCUCUGCAAAGAAAAGCCGGAGUUGCACCCUGAAAGCGCUUCCGUCCCCACCCAUCUCAGCCCGCCGCGCCCCAGGGGCUCCACAAAGUUGCUGCAAGUCGCCGGGUCUGCAGCUGCAGGUGAGGGUGGCGGGGCCGCGCGGCGGGCGGGAGCACGGUCAAGGCUUGGGGUGCCGAGAGCGCCCCCUCCCAGCCCCGCGCGUGCACGCCUCCCACGGACGCGCACCCUGCACCCCACCCUCACCGCUGCCCCCGAGGCUCCCGCCCAAUCAGAGGCCGCGCACGCGGCGCCUCCGGCGGGCAGACACCCCGGCUCUUCGGCCUGCGCCUCUGCGGCCCCGGCCCCGCCGCAGCGGCCCGGCCCCGCCACACUCACCGUCCGGGGCGCGCCGUCCGCGCGCGGCUCCGCUCCGAGCCGGCAUCCCCCGGCUCGGCUGCCUCCGGUCCCCGCUCCGGCUCCGGUUCCCGCUCCGCAGGGCUCGGCUCCGCGAUGGUGGCCGCGGCGGCGAGCGCGGCAGGGAGGGCGUGUGUGUGCGCGAGGGCGCGCGGCGUGUGCGUGUGCGUGUGCGCGGGAGGGUCCGGGCUCCCCUGCGCGCCCCGCUCCUACCUCCUGUUCGCCACGCCGAGAUGCCGGCAGAAUCCCUACCGCGCGCCUCACCGCCCUGCGCUCACAUUCGCGCACACACACGCACACUCGGGCGCGCACUCCCCGGCCGCCGUACACCGGCUCGGCACUCCCGGCUCGCCCUCCUGGGGCGCUCACAAAGGCCCCCCUGCUGGGCGGGCCGGAACCCUCGGAGCCCGGCCCUGCGCCCUUACUGGACCCGCCGGCCUCAGGUGUCCCGCUGCUCCCGGUGGGGACAGCGCGGGUGGCCCCGCUCCCAGCCCGAACCCCGGCCCUGGUGCCUACUCGGGCUUCCAGUACUCCCGCCCGAAACGCGGGCCCCUUCCUCUGCGCUGCCGCCCUUCUUACCCCUUCCAGCCCGUCCUCUCCGGCGCCUCCCCGCCUUCUCCCACCUGCCCAGCCCGGUCCUCCGUCUCCCCGCUGCUCUCCGUCUGUCUCGCCGCCGCCCUCUCCCGCGCCCCCUCCUCCCCACCGCCCUGCGCUGCCUCUCACAUUCUCCGCAUUACAGCGGGUGCCGCCCGCCGCUCGCGGGGCCCAGGGUUCGAGCGCGCAGUGGGCGGCGAGGGGACCCGCCGCGCCCGGCCCCGCCGCCCCCUCCGCUCUUCGCCGCUCCGCGGCUGCUAGCUCCGGCCUGGCGCUAG
Long non-coding RNA from Callithrix jacchus (white-tufted-ear marmoset), 1845 nucleotides. The record is from Ensembl. Lineage: Eukaryota; Metazoa; Chordata; Mammalia; Primates; Cebidae.